GACGAACCGUGCGAACGUUAUUCGGAAUCACUGGGCUUAAAGGGCGCGUAGGCGGGCCGCAUAGUCAGGGGUGAAAUCCUCCAGCUUAACUGGAGAAGUGCCUUUGAUACUGGCGGCCUCGAGGGGUGCAGGGGCGUGCGGAACUUCGGGUGGAGCGGUGAAAUGCGUAGAUAUCCGAAGGAACACCGGUGGCGAAGGCGGCACGCUGGACACCUUCUGACGCUGAGGCGCGAAAGCCAGGGGAGCAAACGGG
Molecule: ribosomal RNA, 253 nt
Filed under: uncultured bacterium
Lineage: Bacteria
Description: partial 16S ribosomal RNA
Rfam family: Bacterial small subunit ribosomal RNA
Source: RNAcentral